UCCACAAUCUGUAGCCUUUUU
RNAcentral lists this non-coding RNA (21 nucleotides) under Caenorhabditis elegans. Lineage: Eukaryota; Metazoa; Nematoda; Chromadorea; Rhabditida; Rhabditidae. The record is from RNAcentral.